AGAUACCCUGGUAGUCCACGCCCUAAACGAUGUCAACUAGUUGUCGGGUCUUAAUUGACUUGGUAACGCAGCUAACGCGUGAAGUUGACCGCCUGGGGAGUACGGUCGCAAGAUUAAAACUCAAAGGAAUUGACGGGGACCCGCACAAGCGGUGGAUGAUGUGGAUUAAUUCGAUGCAACGCGAAAAACCUUACCUACCCUUGACAUGGUCGGAAUCCCGGAGAGAUUCGGGAGUGCUCGAAAGAGAACCGGCGCACAGGUGCUGCAUGGCUGUCGUCAGCUCGUGUCGUGAGAUGUUGGGUUAAGUCCCGCAACGAGCGCAACCCUUGUCAUUAGUUGCUACGAAAGGGCACUCUAAUGAGACUGCCGGUGACAAACCGGAGGAAGGUGGGGAUGACGUCAAGUCCUCAUGGCCCUUAUGGGUAGGGCUUCACACGUCAUACAAUGGUACAUACAGAGGGCCGCCAACCCGCGAGGGGGAGCUAAUCCCAGAAAGUGUAUCGUAGUCCGGAUUGCAGUCUGCAACUCGACUGCAUGAAGUUGGAAUCGCUAGUAAUCGCGGAUCAGCAUGUCGCGGUGAAUACGUUCCCGGGUCUUGUACACACCGCCCGUC
Molecule: ribosomal RNA, 613 nt
Filed under: uncultured bacterium
Lineage: Bacteria
Description: bacterial SSU rRNA
Rfam family: Bacterial small subunit ribosomal RNA
Source: RNAcentral